Molecule: long non-coding RNA, 1955 nt
Organism: Cotesia glomerata
Lineage: Eukaryota; Metazoa; Arthropoda; Insecta; Hymenoptera; Braconidae
Exons: 5
Source: RefSeq, a predicted model, not a curated record
GUCUGUUAAUUUUUUAGAUUUUUAAAGUUUAAAAUUUUUUAAAGAUUGCAAAAGACAUUUAUAUUAUAGGAUUUUGAAACCUGAAAAUGUCUUACCGUACUUUUUAGUGAUCUGCUUUCAAUAGUUUACCUCAACAAACGUGACUUUUUAAAGCAUUGUAACAAAAAACUGUAUGGUGAAACACUUUUGAAUUGUCGAAACUAGUAAAACUAAAUUCCUUUGUGAGGUUUUAGAUAUAGUCUAAAAGUCGGAAAAACUUAUUUCACAAUAAACAUAAUAUAAGGAUUCCUCGAAAGUCCUUAAAAGUAGGAGUAUUGUGAAUAAAACGGUAAAAAUUUUCUCAUGGUACAAAAUUAAUGAAAGAAGAAAUAAAACCAUUGUAAAAAAAUACUACUCCAUUCUGAAGAACGGAGUUGGUUUAAAUUAAAUAAUGAGUAUUAUUAUAAGUAGAUCGCAACAAUGAUGUUAUGGAAGAAACAUUGAGUGGGAUUGUCAUAAGACACGAUCAAUCAAUGAAGCAUAAUAAGAAACAAGAGCCACGCUAUCUAGAGCUACGCACAGCUGGCUUACACGCACUUGCGCUCGCAAUAACACAACGACCGUCACCAACUACUAUAAUUGUGCGCUUCCCCUGGUGCAUUCCAAUCCUCGACAAAUCUGUACUCUGAUGUCGCAACAUAACAGACUAGUUAUUUUUUAUGAAAUUAUAUCGUCAGUACUGGGUUCGCUCAAACGUGUUAGCAAGGACCCCUCUACUUGUUCCAGCCCCGUGGGAACGCGUUGGUGGCCAGCUGCACUGAUUGCCGCGAGGACGUGACGUAGUGCCGGGAUACUAAAGGAAAGUGUCUUUGUAUGUGUGGUAUAGUAAGUCUAUAUUGAAAAAUACUGAGUGAAGAAGUAAACUGGUAUAGGUAUAUAGUAUAGCAUGGGAUUGGGCGAUGCUGAUCAUCACAAUCUCCAAGUAGUAUAUAGUAAUAUAGGUAUACAUAUUUAUAUUAUAGGUGGUGGGAAUGUAUUUGUGUGAAGUAUAUAUACUAUAAAGAAUACGGUUAGGUAUGUAUAGAAAUAAAGAAGACUUGCUAAAGGGAGAAAGAUGGUCAAAGAAGUUUAAGAGCAGAACGAAGCCGACGAGGCCAAGAUCCGUACGAGAAGAAAAGAGGGACGCAUUCCAAUGAGGCGCCGGCCAGUCUGUGGCACACCUGCGCGUUAAGCUGAAUCACGGCGCCUCCGCCACAACUGAACUGGCCCUCCCACCCGUUUCUCUUUCUCUCUUGUCCUCCCGAUCCUUUUUCUCCCACAACAUAUAGCUUCCCAGCCGGAGCCAGACAAGCCAGAUAAAGAUAAAAGUCCAGAGUUAUUUGCGUUUUCUCUUUACUUCACAUUCAGCUUCUAUAGGUACUAUUCAGGCUCUUUUGCUCGACACGAUUCACAGCACAGCCACAUCGAAACAUAACAGCAAGAGACGCAGUGUCGAAUAACUGGGAAAGCUCACGGUCUUGCGUAUACAAUUCGAUGGAGGCGUGCAGGUGUCCAAUGAAGCCUGUCCGUCCGGACUUAAUGUCUGUCUAUAGUUAUAUUUCUUUAAAUUAUGCCUUAAAUCUCAUGCUCACGCUGUUUUUUCUUUUACUCACUUGCAUUGACCUAAAAUUAUCAUUUUUUAUUUUUAUUUACAGGUAUGCACCUUUUUUUUUUAUUAGUAUUUUUGACACUACAACACAUAAAAAUAAAAAUUUUAUGGUUUUACUUCUCAAGAUUUAUAUCGGAUCCUGUUAAACGGAAAAACAAAGGAUCAUAACAUUACAAAAACAAAUAGAUGGCAACUUUUUUGGCAGAACUGUUCUUCACUAAAAUUAUUAAUUAUUUUGUAGUCUAAGUAGAUUAUUAAUUAGUAAUUUAAGCAAAAUCUAUCCAAAAACAGAAUUCUGGUUAGAAAAAAUUCAAAGCUAUUGACAUAA